This 16703-nucleotide long non-coding RNA is filed under the name Musa acuminata (dwarf banana). RNAcentral describes it as "long non-coding RNA (MACU_LNC004775)". Lineage: Eukaryota; Viridiplantae; Streptophyta; Magnoliopsida; Zingiberales; Musaceae. The record is from RNAcentral.
CAAACCCUAGCAUAGUGCAUGUUCGUCUACGGGUAGCCCUUUCCUACUCGAGCCCCCUCACCAUGCCCAAAUGCUAGGUCGGCUCUGAUACCAAAUAUAAUGACUCGGGUCUGAUGGGCUAACUAGCCUAUCAACUUCGUUUGGUCUAAACCACUGACCAAAAUGCUUAAGCUGAAGUUGAUAGUAGAACACUCAUCAGACCCUUAUAAGUCAAUCUUAAUUCUGCCCACUUUCGAUGUGGGACUAAUCAUGGGUGUUACAGUAAGUGUUGCAUUUAGGGACAUACUCAGAAAGCAAGGUUCAAAGAGAAAAUGUAAGUGAAUGAGCAUAAUUAUAUGUGCAUAAAUAAUAGAGUUAUGAAAUUAAAGAAACUUGUCAAAAAUUAAACAAUAUAGUAACAUUUACAGGUUGGUUUGGCAGUAGAGAACUAGAGAUCAUAAAUGUAAACCUGUGGAUUUGUGACUGCAUAAUAAUAAGGAGAUGCAGUGUGAAAAACACCAUCACAACCCUCAACCACAACAUCAAAGGACCCCUCUUCUGAUAAGUUGGCUUUAAACAAAAGCAACCUCUCAGUGGCUCCCUCCAGAGCACGCAAGUGCUGAGUCUUCUUUUGAUCAGCUGACAAGAAUGAUUUCAAAAUAUUGAAAAGAAGACAUAAGAAUUAAGAUGGAGAGGAAGUAUACAAAUAUAUAAUCUUAUACCAUCAAUAUAAUUAUUAUAUUAAGGGUCCCAACAUGAUUUCAGUCAGCAAUAUUAAAGGAAGAUCAGAUUACAGUCAGGGUAAUUUAGGUUUCUUCCUACAAGAUAUAUCCAAUAAACCUGGUGUUUUAGGCAAAGGCUAUGGAAUGUAAAGCAAUAGGCAAACAGAGUAGGAUCAUUUGCAUGCAUAUUUACAAUAAAAGAAUCUUUCAAGGAAACAAACAUCGAGCAGGAAAAUAUCAUGUAAAUCAGUUUUCCAUGGAUUGAUGCAUUGAGCAGGAAAAUACUUCAUAACUACUACUCUCUUGUUAGUGCAAACUGUAGUCAAUUGAAAAAUAUUAAAUAAGUAUAAUCUUAUAAGCCCCCAUCUAAAUUUUAAGCCCAUUAAUCAGAAACGGUAAUCAUUUGCACAUUCAGGAUUGUUACUUGUUUUCAUUUCUAAUAGUCGGAUACUCAGCCGAAUGAUGAUUACCUUCAAUCUUUUUGCACUGUUUUUUUAAUUUUGAAAGUUACACACACCACAAACAGACGUCAUUUUGGAUAUACCCCAAGAACAGUUUCAUAUUUGAUCAAUUCAGAUCAUGAUGCAGAUGUGUGACUCACAACAUCCGGAAUAAAUAACAUAGGCUUCCCACUCCUUUGUUCUUAGAAUUCGAGCUCACGCAAUCAUCUUGUGGGAUUGCAAAAGGUCCGAAAACAUUUAGAAGGGAAAAGAUCCAAACGAUCGAGAGUGUGUUAGAUGAGUCGAAUCUAAUCUUCAGAAGAAUACCGAGUUUAGCACGAACCCGGGUCACGCACGGAGGCGCGGACGGUGUAGCCGCGCUGGAGGAGGAACUUCACAAGCCACGAGGCGAUGAAGCCGGACGCGCCCGUGACACACACCACCUUCCCGCCGCCGCUCAUCGUGACUACAACUCUCGCUCGGCCGGGCGCUGUUUUAGUGGAAGAGCAGGCAAAGGAUCGCAGUGGUCUGUUGAGAAGGCCGCUCCUCUGCGGCAUAAAUAGGGCGACAAAGGCGGAACAUAAUUACCAGACGGCCAACUACAUCCGCUGCUCUUAACACUAACAUCACAUGACGUUACGACUUACGACACCUGCCUGCGGCGGCGCAUCGCAACUUGCGUAAGCAGCAAUUGCGAGAGAUAUAUAUAUAUAUAUAUAUAUACCUUUGUGCAUAUUGUUGCCUUGUGUCAGCCAACAAAGACAAUUAGUAUCGUAUUGGCUGAUAAAUAUUGUGUUAGCAAUAUAAUAGCGAACGUAGGCAGUCUAUAAUUAAUUUGACCUAGAUGACCUGAUUAUUCAACAUUUCCCCUGCUUAUUACAAAUUGAUGCAUGUUCAUCUGUUUUGAUUCACAAGAUUUCACUCUGAUCAUCGAUUCGGUGUUUGCAGGGAACUCUCGACGGGUGCGAUCCUUCAAGCACUGAGAGACGAAACAAUGAACGAUCCUUGCGAUCGAAUUGAGCUGGCAUUGAGUCAUGCUUUCGACAGGCCAUCACUUUUGGGUCAGCCAUGACCGACGAUGUCGACUUCGAUGCGCUGUCAUGCUCGUUGUUCAGCUUGAUGAGUUUUGCAGUCGGAGUAAUAGGGUCUUUUUUCUUUUGUUGUCUGAAUCAAAUGUCAACUAUCUACUUUAUCGAACAGCCAUUGAUUGAUAUGACAGUCCAUGCUCGUCGUGUGACUUGAAAUCGUGAUGUAGCUAUGUGACAUCCAAGUCGAAUAUUACAAGAGUGUACUUGAAAGUUUCUCACAGGUGCAUAAGAAUUGAACACAAGGUAUGAAAGAGAGAUGCAAUGUACUUUUGGUAUCUCUAUCGUUCCAAGUGAGUGAUAGAUAACGUAGCCGUUUGGCUAAAAAUAACGCCUCAUCGGUUGUCUGUAGUUGUCGAUAAGUGGCACAAUUGCUGGAGUAGUGGGUAUUGGCAUCGCCUGAUCUAAAAUUAACUCAAUUUUAAUCCAAUUUGAGCGUCUUGUGUGAUUUCAUUCAUUCAUUGAUUUAUCCGCAACUUUUGUAGGUCUUCAGAUGAGUUGGAGGAAUAUUUCAGAAACCAAAAUUUACUAAACAAAGAGGAUUGAUUCAUUAAAUUCAUUAUUAAGUGACUCAUUCUUCAUCGAGAGUUAAAAACCUCAUUCAAUUUUUUUUUUCAAAAUUUCAUUCGGUAGUUUUUUUAAUAAAGAUCUUAAUUGUCGAUAACGAGAUCCUAAAAUAAAAUUUUAUCUUUAUCGCUUAUCCUUUUCUAAUAAAUUUAUAAAAAAAUUUAAAAAAAAAAAAAAUCUUUUCUUACUUAUGUUUAGAUGACAUUUUCAUUUACAAUGAAUAAUUGUCCAAUUCAUUUCUUUGAUUUUACUACUAACUACAGGUAUCGAAGUAAAUAUUCCAAUAUAAACUUAUAAUCGAUCACACCAACAACAGCAUGACACCAUAAUGGAGCACAAAUAUGUCUUAGUUUCUAAAAAACAAAUUGCAUGUGCUGAAAAGAUCAAUUACAGGAUUAUGCAAUGCAUGAUUCAUUGCUUCAAAGUUUGACAAGCAUCGUCAUUGAUCUGGGAUGCAAAAUUAUUUAUUAUGCUAAUUCAAGUUUUAGAAACUAAUAAAGCUCUUCUCCUUCAGGCUCUCAAUCGUCUCCUUGAUGCUUGUUUCCAAAGGAAUAUAAUCGAGGCCCAAGCUUUUAAACUUUUCCUCGGAGACUUGGCAUACCGGCAUAAAGGGCUUGUCAUCGGCACACCUGCCAACGUUAUAGUCACAGCUUAGUACACCAAAAGGAGAUGGUAGCCACAGAAUGUACUAAAAUUACAGCUUCCUUUUAUAGAAUCAUUUCUUCAGCCAUUAGUGACCGAUGAACAAGCAAUGCCAAAGACCUCGAUACAAUGUACAUGGCAACAAGAACAAGCUGGUCAUAGCCGCUAAAUGAAUUAUACCAGAGGAAGCUAUGCCAGCAUUACAGAAUGUUACUGACUAAUUUAUAUGAUGCACAUUAUCAGAUAUCAAUAUGAUCAGAUGUUCAGAAGUUCUAGAACUCUUUCAAUUCAAAGCAAAAGUUAAGAAUUAUGAACUUCGUACAGUACAACUUAGAAGAACUCGACGAAGAUAUGCUUCGAAAACCAUUCACCUUGUGUCUUGCUGUUGUUGGGUCUUAUUGCUAUUUCAUUACUACUAUGUUUUUAAUUCUAGGAGAGAUGGUUCUAUGUAUUACUUAGAAUUGCACGGAUGACGUUAAAGAGAGUGAAAGUGAAGACAGAAGGAUAAUAAAUAAAAUAAAAUAAAAUAAAGCAAUUGUAUUAUCCAUUGACCUAAACUAAAGAAUAGACAUUAUAGAAGCACACAACAAUUAGACCAUGGGGUAUGCCUAACCUGGAACUUAGAUUUUAUAUCCUAUAUACAUCAAAAUUGCAAUUAUACAAAAUGCCUAAUAAUAGAACCAUAAGCCGUCGUGUUCCAAUUAUUUGGAGUCAUGUAUAAGAUAAUAAUUUUAGUUGAAUAAAAUAUCAUUCAAAUCCUUUUUUAUUAUUGGAAACACACCUAAUUCUCUAUGAUUGAAGUCAUUUUUUUUUAUCCUCCCUAAUGAUUUUGUAUGUUCAUCUCACCAUUCUCAUCUUAGUUACUAAAAUUUUUUGUGCAUAUUCUUUCCAAACAAUCCAAUACUCAGAUUGGUAGCCACAAAACUGCCAAUGCACCUCCCAAUUUUAAUUAUCUAAUUUUUAUUUUAUGAACAAUGUCUUCAUCAAUCUCUCCAUUUUGUUCAACAAUAGAUCCAAGAAUUUUUUUUAUUUUACAAUAAAGGAUAAACACCAUUAAAAAAUUCCAAUACUAUGGGAAGCAUGAAACUUCGAGAGAAAGAUCAGUUACCACCGAGCAAACUCUUCAGAUACAACAGAUAGAAUUUUUUCAUCAAUCAACAAGACUUGUAAACACGACACUUGGAUCACAAGACAAUAAAAGCAACUGAAAAUAGUAACUUACUUAUCAGGGAGUUGAAAAGAAGGAUAAAGUUCAUGUAUGAUCUUCAAAAUCUCUGAGUAAUGAACAACUCUUUCGACAAGACAGUAUCUUCCUGAUGCUGAGGGAAGUUCAAAAGCCAGAACGUGCGCCAUGGCAACAUCUUGAACAUUUACCCACCCAAUAGUUGCAUCAGGAAAGGUGGAGGAACCUAAAGACAAAAAAAAAAACAGAUAGCCAAAGUCAUAAUUCUCUUAUACGAACCAUUUUCUAGAAAAUAAUUACCAAGAUUUGGAAGAAUCAAAACCAUUCUAGGAUAUAGAUCACAACCAAAACAUUCAACACUGGACAUUGAGACAGCAGGCACUUAAAAUACAUGAACAGAACAUGAUCUUGAAAUGUCAUAUUGUUUGGUUGCCUGAAAAAAGCUUAAGUCUGCAUUAACAACAUAUUCCUCCCAUCUUCGACAUAGCCAUCAGGCUACAUUUGCCUACUCUUAAGCAAUAAAUAUUUAAUUUUAAGAUUCAGUAUCCAAAAUCACAUCAUCACUCUAAGUUUGUCUAACCAAAAAAAGAAAAGGCAAAAAAAAAACUUCAUUAAUAGUUCAUACUUAGCAAGUGAAACUUUUCUCAUCUAUUCCUACGUAUUGAACUCAUCGAAAAUCUGAACCUUAACAGCACUGAGCUACUACUAAUAUUUACAAUGGGUAGUCAAAUAAAUAGUGUAUACGCCAAUGAUCUUUUAAAAGAUUAAUAAAUUUUGCACAAAGAACAUAAUCUCAUAACUUCAAACCUAAACAUUAAAUGACCCCAUCUAAUUGUAUUAAAAUUGCAUGGACAAUAUAGAUAUGAACAUAAUAAUCACAUGACUUGCUACAAUGAAGUUGUCAACAAUAAGCGGAGCAAACUAGCAAAUGUUGACGGUCAAAAUGUUGGGAUGCCUCUUAAAUACAGCAAACUUAAUGUAAGAAUUCGGUGUUGUUAAACAUGAAGCUGUAACAACUAAGAACAGAAUGCAGUGGAAAUUGAGAAGAAAUUUGAAAAAGGGAUGCACUGUAAUUAAAUGUUGGCCAUAUCACAAGAAUAAAGGAGGCAAACAAAAUAGAUGUGAUAAAUCUUGAUGCUAAAGCUUCAAGCUGCAAAUACUCUUGCUACUUUAAUCAACUAAAAGAGAAAAAACAAGAUUCUUUCACAGUAGACCAAAACACUCUUUCCCUAAAUACUAUUGUGUUGGAUCAUGCCUUAGAAUCACAUGCAUAACACCAAUAUAUAAUUCAUCAUGCAGACAAAAUAAACAAAUCAGCAAUCUAUAGAGGUAUCAAAUACUCUUCUUUCUUUCCUUUAAGAAGUGAACCAAAAGGAAGGAAAAGGAUGGGAUAAAAAGGAAAGGAGAGAAAGGAAGGUACAUGCAUCUCAAGGUAUCAUCUCCUAUACAUUGCAUUGAUGACCUUUGAUUUGUGACAGAUAUUACAUAUAUAUUCAAGAAGAAUUCAUAGUAUAAGAAUCAUCAGAUCUAUUUGGCCAAAUGAAAAUAUCAUCAUCAAUUUGUACAGUUAUCUGGCAGCUAGAAUGGAAUGAUGCUAAUGGUAAAUGACAAACUUCAAAUGAUGCUAAUGGGCAAACAGAAACCAAGGCCUCAAUAUCUAACAGACACAGCAUGAAAUCACUUGAUAACCAGGCAUCUAGUCAUUUCCAAUAAUAUCAUUUGUGAUUUAGAAGUUGUCAGGAUAUUGGCAAACUUCAUUUGAGACUGACAAAUUGCAGAGUAAAAGUUCCAAACUAGGAUCAGAUUUGAAACAAAUUAAGCUUCAUACCAUUUAUUAGGUUCAGGAUUGCAGCAGAACUUGUGUUAAGUGUUGACUGCAGAAGAGGACCUAUGACCAUUCCUGGAUUUAUCGUGACUAUAUCUAUGCCAUUCUCUUUAGAAAACUUCCAAGCAGCUUCCUCUGCCAAAGUCUUCGAGAGUACAUACCAUUGCUGGGGUAAUAUGAGAGAUCUUAGAAAACAUGCAUAAUAAAAAGUUGAAUUUUUUUAUUGAAGGCAUCUAUAAAGAAAAAAGAUUUGAGAUGUAAUAAAUGUAAAUCCAAAGAAAUUAACUAAUAACAAACAAAUAGAAGGUGCAACAAUACAGACACGGAAAUUGUUGGAUUUUUUUUUUUUGACAUGGACAUUGUUAUUUAUGAUAAUUCCAGUCGAAACAUAAAUAUGAAUAGAUUAGAGACUUACUGGGAGGUUUUAAGCAGGCCAGGUAUUGUCACUUCACUAAACGCACCAUGUUGCAGAAUUCAGAGUCUAAUUAUUUUUUGAGGCAAUAUAUUUGGCCAAAUUAGUAAAUCAUAAUACUAGAAACCUGAGGACAAUCAGUACUAGAUAUUAUGAUUUAAUAUCUUUUUAUUUCUUUCUCAUUCCCAACCCAGAGAAUCCACUGCCAAGGCUGAAACGGAGUAGCUUUCAGCACCACAUGGACCACAACCAGAGUACUGCUAUAUUACACUGCUAUACUACUCUGCUACACAUAAGUAUUUAGGUGUUUCUUUAUGACAGACCAUCAUCCAGAUAGAAUGGAUUUUAUUAAUUGGUAUUCAUUAUUUUCUUCUAGUGAUAAUUUACAUGCAGGACUGAUCUGAUCCUAGGAUGCUACAAUCCCUUCCAAGCAGAAACCAAGACUAUGAGGUGGUACUAUCUCUUUCAAACUAACGCCAAACCAUCAUCUUCACACUUGAACAGGACAUAAAAUCUCAGCCAGGAGAAAUCAAGCAUCAUCCUGAAGACCAAUUUAAGAUUGUAUCAUACAACUUUCAGUCUAGCUAGCAUGGACAUGCAAUCAGUCUUCAGUUAUUAUAACCCACAUAUAGCUGCCGUCAUAACUUCAACAGUAUGGUUCUCCAAUAUCAUCCAGCAGACUGUAUAUUGUAUUCAGAAGGUUACUAAAUAAACUUGUCUCACAAGCUCCGCAUAAUAUUGUGUACAUUAUCUGGUGUGUUGCGAAAACAUGACAGAAAGGUUUUCUAAAAUAAAGGAAUUUUUUGGUAAUAAAUUAAAAUUGUAAAAAGGUUGUGGCCAAGGAUUGAAACAUNNNNNNNNNNNNNNNNNNNNNNNNNNNNNNNNNNNNNNNNNNNNNNNNNNNNNNNNNNNNNNNNNNNNNNNNNNNNNNNNNNNNNNNNNNNNNNNNNNNNNNNNNNNNNNNNNNUAUAUAUAUAUAUAUAUAUAUAUAUAUAUAUAUAUAUAUAUAUAUAUAUAUAUAUAUAUAUAUAUAUAAUAUUUUAUUUAUAUAUCUAUUUAUUUAUAUAUUUAUAUAUAUAUAAUUUAAAAAAAAAAAGUGUGAUGUUGCCAGACGGGGCGACGUCACCGAGGCGACAUCGCAGGAAAAACGAGGUGACGUCGCUUUAUAUAUAUAUAUAUAUAUAUAGAGAGAGAGAGAGAGAGAGAGUCCGAUAGUGAGUAAUCCACGUACCGGUUUACUGUCGGAUCAAUACGUAUCGUCCGUACCGAGUGAUAUCAUUCAAAAUUGUAUAUCUUGGUUAUGACCGUAAAGUACAGUAACUUUCUAUAAAAAAAAAUAUAGGGAGCACUGAAAUAGAAUAUAGAUAAAUUAAAACCAAUGACAUGAUUGCAGCAGAAAAUAUUCUACAGAAGCAAUAAAACUAUUCAGUACAUACUGUCAGAUACCUUUUGCUGCUCGCAAACCUCGGGACUAGAAAACCAUGUCUCAUCAACAACUACAUCAGGAGUUGGUGGUUUACUAUUGUAUAAAACUGCAGCCAUUGAUGAUGUCACCACUACCUUUUUCACAGACCACUUCUUACAGGAUGCCAAAACAUUGAGUGUGCCCUUCACUGCUGGCUCAAUUAACUCAGCCUAAAAUAAAAGUAAAUAAAUCAGAUAAAGCUUGACAUCAUUUGCAAACUUAGAUCAAGAACCCCAUGGUCAGAUAUGAGACAAAAGAGAAAAUGAAAGACAUGAAAAGCAAGCAAUGUCCUCUUGAUAAGCCACAUUUAAUAGCAGAUACUCCAAAACCGUUGUAUCAUGUUACAGAAAUCAAUAACAAUUAUUUCUUUGGUGGAACUCUUAGUGGGUCUUAUGGUUUUGUAAUAACAGAUGAUAGAAAUAGAAAGCAAUAAAAUUACGAAAACAGUCCUUUCUAUAUGCUUCUACUGAGUUUUCAAGGAAAAAAAUAACCCAAAAAUAUUGCAUUUUACAUGGGGCAAUUUAUUAAUCACACAGUUUACAAGGAAACAAAGUCAUUUAUGUAAAAUGGAUGGUGAAGGGCCAUUGGAUGACUCUCAUGUUUCAUGCCGUUACCAAACAGAUUCUUCACUGGGAUACCUUCACGCUUCAUUGCUAUUACCUAACAGACGCUAUACUGGCAUUUCACCUAGACAUCAGCUAUUAGGUAUAACCUUGUUUGAUAAGAAAACAUAAAAAGGAAAGGGAUAUUCUGAAACUUUUAUAACUGCCUUAAUAUGUAAGAUGUUGCAUUUAGGGACAAGCUCAGAAAGCAAGGUUCAAAGAGAAAAUGUAAGUGACUGAGCAUAAUUAUAUGGGAAUAAAUAAUAGAGUUUUGAAAUUAAAGAAAUUUGUCAAAAUUAAACAAUAUAGUAACAUUGACAAGUUGGUUUGGCAGUAGAGAACUAUAGAUCAUAAAUGUAAACCUGUGGAUUCGUGAGUGCAAGAUAUAAAGGAGAUGCAGUGUGAAAAACACCAUCACAACCCUCAACCACAGCAUCAAAGGACCCCUCUUCUAAUAAGUUGGCUUUAUACAAAAGCAACCUCUCCGUGGCUCCCUCCAGAGCACGCAAGUGCUGAGUCUUCUUUUGAUCAGCUGACAAGAAUGAUUUCAAAAUAUUGAAAAGAAGACAAAAGAAUUAAGGUACAGAGGAAGUAUACAAAUAUAUAAUCUUAUAUCAUCAAUAUAAUUAUUAUAUUAAGGGUUCCAACAUGAUUUAAGUCAUCAAUAUUAAAGGAAGAUCAGAUUACAGUCAGGGUAAUUUAGGUUUCUUCCCACAAGAUAUAUCCAAUAAACCUGGUGUUUUAGGCAAAGGCUAUGAAUGUAAAGCAAUAGGCAAACAGAGUAGGAAUAUUUGCGUGCAUAUUUACAAUAAAAGAUUCUUUCAAGGAAACAAACAUCGAGCAGGAAAAUAUCAUGUAAAUCAGUUUUCCAUGGAUUGAUGCAAUUGAGCAGGAAAAUACUUCAAAACUACUACUCUCUUGUUUAUGCAAACUGUAGCCAAUUGAAAAAUAUUAAAUAAGUAUAUUCUUAUAAGCCCCCAUCUAAAUUUUAAGCCCAUUAAUCAGAAACUGUAAUCAUUUGCACAUUCAGGAUUGUUACUUGUUUUCAUUUCUAAUAGUCGGAUACUCAGCCGAAUGAUGAUUACCUUCAAUCUUUUUGCUCUGUUUUUUAAUUUUGAAAGUUACACACACCACAAACAGACAUCAUUUUGGAUAUACCCCAAGAACAGUUUCAUAUUUGAUCAAUUCAGAUCAUGAUGCAGAUGUGUGACUCACAACAUCCGGAAUAAAUAACAUAGGCUUCCCACUCCUUUGUUCUUAGAAUUCGAGCUCACGCAAUCAUCUUGUGGGAUUGCAAAAGGUCCGAAAACAUUUAGAAGGGAAGAGAUCCAAACGAUCGAGAGUGUGCUAGAUGAGUCGAAUCUACUCUUCAGAAGAAUACCGAGUUUAGCACGAACCAGGGUCACGCACGGAGGCGCGUACGGUGUAGCCGCGCUGGAGGAGGAGCUUCACAAGCCACGAGGCGAUGAAGCCGGACGCGCCCGUGACACAAACCACCUUCCCGCCGCCGCUCAUCGUGACCACAGCUCUCGCUCGGCCGGUCGCUGUUUUAGUGGAAGAGCAGGCAAAGGAUCGCAGUGGUCUGUCGAGAAGGCCGCUCCUCUGCGGCAUAAAUAGGGCGCCAAAGGCGGAAGAUAAUUAUCGGACGGCCAACUCCAUCCGCUGCUCUAACACUAACAUCACAUGACGUUACGAAUUACGACACCUGCCUGCGGCGGCACAUCGCAUCUUGCUUGUCGAGAUGGGUGAUAGUAUAAACGGAAAAGGGACAAUUCAAGUAAUCUUACCGCUUGUUUUGGACAUGAAUUUAACCAUGGAAUGAUCAGUCUGCUGACAGAGUGCCUAUCGCUAAACGCUCGUAAUCUUUUGUCAUGGUGUGCCUGUUGUGCGUGCAUUUUAUGAACUCCGAAGUCAACCCAGCUUGGGUGUUUUGGAUCCAGAAGGAAGAAGCAUGUUGCUCCUGCUGAGCUAUGCCCCAUUCUGGUAACACUUCACAAGAUAUUGAGGAGACAAAAGAUGGAUGAUUAUUCAACAUUUCCCCUGCUUAUUUCAAGUCCGUUCAUAUGUUUGGAUUCACAAGAUUUCACUUUGGUCACUGAUUCGGGUGCGAUCCUUCCAGCACAGAAAGACAAAACAAUGAAUCGAUCCAACCGAGAUGGCACUGAAUCAUGCUUUCGACAGGCCAUCAAUUUUGGGUCAGCCAUGACCGACGAUGUCGACUUCGAUGCGCUGUCAUGGUCGUUGUUCAGCUUGAUGAGUUUUGCAGUCGGAGUAAUAGGGUCUUUUUUCUUCUGUUGUCUGAAUCAAAUGUCAGAUGAGUUGGAGGAAUACAUCAGAAACCAAAUUGACUCAAAAAAAUUUACUUACUAAAGAGGGUUAAUCCAUUGAACUCACUAUUAAGUGACUUAUUCUUCAUCAAGAUAUCGAGAGUUUAAAAACUUCAUUCAGUAGUUUUUUUAAUAGCGAUCUUAAUUAUCGGUAUCAAUGUCCUAAAAUGAAAUCUUAUCUUCAUCACUUAUCUUUUUCUAAUAAAUUUACAAAAUUUUCAAAAAUAAGAAUAAAUUUUAUUUUUAUUGCUUCAAAGUUCUCUUCUUAUUUAUGUUUAGAUGACAUUUUCAUUUAGAAUGAAUAAUUGUCCAAUCCAUUUCUUUGAUUUUACUUCUCAUCCUCAUAGAGAUAUUUAGUUUGUGUAAUAUGAGGAUGGAACAAGAUAACAACUAACCACACUUAUAUUAUAUGAAGAACACAUUCCAAUAUAAACUUAUAAUCUAUCACACCAACAACAGGCAUGACACCAUAAUGGAGCACAAAUAUGUCCUCGUUUCUAAAAAACAAAUUGCAUGUGCUGAAAAGAUCAAUUACAGGAUUAUGCAAUGCAUGAUUUACUGCUUCAAAGUUCGACAAGCAUCGCCAUUGAUCUGGGAUGCAAAAUUAUUUAUUAUGCUAAUUCAAGUUUUAGAAAUUAAUAAAGUUCUUCUCCUUCAGGCUCUCGAUCGUUUCCUUGAUGCUUGUUUCCAGAGGGAUGUAGUAGAGGCCCAAGCUUUUAAACUUUUCCUUGGAGACUUUGUAUACCGGCACAAAGGGCUUGUCAUCUGCACACCUGCCAACGUUAUGGUCACAGCUUAGUACACCAAAAGGAGAUGGUAGCCACAGAAUGUACUAAAAUUACAGCUUCCUUUUAUAGAAUCAUUUCUUCAGCCAUUAGUGACCGAUGAACAAGCAAUGGCAAAGACCUCGAUACAAUGUACAUGGCAAGAAGAACAAGCUGGUCAUAGCCACUAAAUGAAUUAUACCAGAGGAAAGCUAUGCCAGCAUUACAGAAUGUUACUGACUAAUUUAUAUGGUGCACAUUAUCAGAUAUCAAUAUGAUCGGAUGUUCAGAAGUUCUAGAACUCUUUCAGUUCAAAACAAAAGUUAAGAACUAUGAACUUCGUACAGUAGAACUUAGCAGAACUCAGACGAAGAUAUGCUUUGAGAACCAUUCUCCUUGUGUCUUGCUGUUGUUGGGUCUUAUUGCUAUUUCAUUACUACUAUGUUUUUAAUUCUAGGAGAGAUGGUUAUAUGUAUCACUUAGAAUUGCACGGAUGACGAUAAAGAGAGUGAAAGUAAAGACAGAAGGAUAAUAAAUAAAAUAAAAUAAGUAAUUGCAUCAUCCAUUGGCCUAAUCUAAAGAACAGACAUUAUAGAAGCACACAACAAUGAGACCAUGGGGUAUGCCUAAUCUGGAACUUAGAUUUUAUAUCCUAUAUACAUCAAAAUUGCAAUUAUACAAAAUGCCUAAUAAUAAAACCAUAAGCCGUCGUGUUCCAAACAAAAUUAUUUGAAAUCAGUUAUAUGGAUCUUUCCCUAUCAUUAAGUCAUGUAUAAGAUAAUAAUUUUAGAUGAAUAAAAUAUCAUACAAAUCCUUUUUUAUUAUUACUACUAACAUCUUCUUAAGUCGUCCGCUAACCCUCUUUCCACCACAACUAUUAAUUGAGUCAUCUUUUCAAACUAUAACGUACGUGUUUACUUUGGACAUGUUCAUCUUAAUUUGGAUACUCCUCGUUUUAUAUUUUAUCGUAAACACACCUAAUUCUCUAUGAUUGAAGUCAUUUUUUUUUUAUCCUCCCUAAUAAUUUUGUAUGUUCAUCUCAGUUACUAAACUUUUUUGUACAUAUUCUUGCCAAACAAUCCAAUACUCAGAUUGGUAGCCACAAAACCACCAAUGCACCUACCAAUUUUAAUUAUCUAAUUUUUAUUUUAUAAACAAUGUCUUCAUCAAUCUCUCCAUGUUGUUCAACAAUAGAUCCAAGAUUUUUUUUAUUUUACAAUAAAGGCUAAGCACCAUUAAAAAAUUGCAAUACUAUGAGAAGCAUGAAACUUGAAAGAAAGAUCAGUAACCACCGAGCAAACUCUUCAGAUAUAACGGAUAGAAUUUUGUCAUCAAUCAACAAGACUAGUAGACACGGCACUUGGAUCACAAGACAAAAAAAGCAACCGAAAAUAGUAACUUACUUAUCAGGGAGUUGAAAAGAAGGAUAAAGUUCAUGUAUGAUCUUCAAAAUCUCUGAGUAAUGAACAACUCUUUCGACAAGACAGUAUCUUCCUGAUGCUGAGGGAAGUUCAAAAGCGAGAACAUGCGCCAUGGCAACAUCUUGAACAUUUACCCACCCAAAGGUUGCAUUAGGAAACGUGGAGGAACCUAAAGACAAAAAGAACAGAUAGCCAAAGUCAUAAUUCUCUUAUACGAACCAUUUUCUAGAAAAUAAUUACCAAGACUUGGAAGAAUCAAAACCAUUCUAGGAUAUAGAUCUCAACCAAAACAUUCAACACUGCACAUUGAGACAGCAGGCACUUUAAAUACAUUGACAGAACAUGAUCUUGAUAUGUCGUAUUGUUUGGUUGCCAGAAAAAUGAUAAAGUCAGCAUUAACAACAUAUUCUUCCCAUCCUCGACGUAGCCAUCAGGCUACACUUGCCUACUCCUAAGCAAUAAAUAUUUAAUUUUAAGAUUCAGUAUCCAAAAUCACAUCAUCACCAAGGUCCGCAAUACCGUACCGUACCGGAGUUUCGACCUGGGCUCGGUACCGGUAUGGUAUGGUAUACCGAGCGGUACACCCAGGUGUACCGCUCGGUAUAUUUAGGCGUGCCGACUGUAGCACUGCUACAGUGCUACAGUGCUGCGACAGUAUCUGGCAGAUCUAUUUGGCCAAAUGAGAAUAUCAUCAUCAAUUUGUACAGUUAUCUGGCAGCUAGAAUGGAAUGAUGCUAAUGGGCAAACAGAAACCAAGGCCUCAAUAUCUAACAGAGACAGCAUGAAAUCACUUGAUAACCAGCCAUCUAGUCAUUUACAACAAUAUCAUUUGCGAUUUAGAAGUUGUCAGGAUAUUAGAAAACUUCAUUUGAGACUGACAAAUUGCAGAGUAAAAGUUCCACACUAGGAUCAGAUUUGAAACAAAUUAAGAUUCAUACCAUUUAUUAGGUUCAGGAUUGCAGCAGAACUUGUGUUAAGUGUUGACUGCAGAAGAGGACCUGUGACCAUUCCUGGAUUUAUCGUGACUAUAUCUAUGCCAUUCUCUUUAGAAAACUUCCAAGCAGCUUCCUCUGCCAAAGUCUUCGAGAGUACAUACCAUUGCUGGGGUAAUAUGAGAGAUCUUAGAAAACAUGCAUAAUAAAAAGUUGAUUUUUUUUAUUGAAGGCAUCUAUAAAGAAAAAAGAUUUGAGAUGUAAUAAACUUAAAUCCAAAGAAAAUAACUAAUAACAAACAAAUAGAAGGUGCAACAAUACAGACACGGACAUUGUUGGAUUUUUUUUUUUUUUGACAUGGACAUUGUUAUUUAUGACAAUUCCAGUCGAAAUAUAAAUAUGAAUAGAUUAGAGACUUACUGGGAAGUUUUAAGUAGUCCAUGUAUUGUCACUUCACUAAACGCACCAUAUUGCAGAAUUCAGAGUCCAAUUAUUUUUUGAGGCAAUAUGUUUGGCCAAAUUAGUAAAUCACAAUACUAAAAACCUGAGUACAAUCAGUACUAGAUACUAUGAUUUAAUAUCUUUUUAUUUCUUUCUCAUUCCCAACCCAGAGAAUCCACUGCCAAGGCUGAAACAGUCUGCUUUCAGCACCACAUGGACCACAACCAGAGUACUGCUAUAUUACACUGCUAUACAUAAGUAUUUAGGUGUUCCUUCUUGCCAGACUAUCAUCCAGAUAGAAUGGGUUUUAUUAGUUGGUAUUCAUUAUUUUCUUUUAGUGAUAAUUUACAUGCAGGACUGAUCUUAUCCUAGGAUGCUACAAUCCCUUCCAAGCUGAAAAAAAGACUACAAGGUGGUCCAAUCUCUUUCAAACUAAUGCCAAACCAUCAUCUUCACACUUGAAUGGGACAUAAAAUCUCAGCCAGGAGAAAUCAAGCAUUAUCUUGAAGACCAAUUUAAGAUUGUAUAAUACGACUUUCAGCCUAGCUAGCAUGGCCAUGACAAUCGGUCUUCAGUUAUUAUAACCCACAUAUAGCAGUCUUCAUAACUUUAACAGCAUGGUUCUCCAAAAUCAUCCAAGUGACUGUAUAUUGUAUUCAGAAGGUUACUAGAUAAACUUGUCUCACAACCUUCGCAUAAUAUUGUGUAUAUUAUCUGGUGUGUUGCAAAUACAUGACAGAAAGGUUUUCUAAAAUAAAGGAAUCUUUAGACAUUAAAUUAGCAUUUUACAAAGGUUAUGGCCAUGAUGUGCGGUACCUUACGAUAAAAUAAUAUAGGGAGCACUGAAAUAGAAUAUAGAUACAUUAAAACCUAUGACAUGAUUGCAGUUGAAAAGAUAAUACACAAACAAUAAAACUAUCCAGUACGUACUGUCAGAUACCUUUUGCUGCUCGCAAACCUCAGGACUUGAAAACCAUGUCUCAUCAACAACUACAUCAGGAGUUCGUGGUUUACUAUUGUAUGCAACAGCAGCCAUUGAUGAUGUCACCACGACCUUUUUCACAGAUGAAUUCUUACAGGAUGCCAAAACAUUGAGUGUGCCCUUCACUGCAGGCUCAAUUAACUCAGCCUAAAAUUUUAGUAAAUAAAUCAGAUAAAGCUUGACAUCAUUUGCAAAUCAGAUAUGAGAUAAAAGAGACAAUGAUAGACAUGAAAAGCAAGCAAUGUCCUCUUGAUAAGCAACAUCUAAUAGCAGAUACUCCAAAACCAUUGUAUCAUGUUACAGAGAAUCAACAACAACUAUUUCUUUGGUGGAACUCUUUGUGGGUCUUAUGGUUUUGUAAUAACAGCUGAUAGAAAUAGAAAGCAAUAAAAUUAUGAAAACAGUCCUUUCUAUAUGCUUUUACUGAGUUUUCAAGGCAAAAAUAACCCAAAAAUAUUGCAUUUUACAUGGGGCAAGUUACUAAUCACACAGUUUACAAAGAAACGAACUCAUUUAUGUAAAAUGGAUGGUGAAGGGCCAUUGGAUGACCCUCAUGUUCCAUGCCAUUACCAAACAGAUUUACACUGGGAUACCUUCAUGCUCCGUUGCUGUUACCUAACAGACGCUGUACUGGCAUUUCAACUAGAUAUCAUCUAUUAGGUAUAACCUUGUUUGAUAAGAAAACAUAAAAAGGAAAGGGAUAUUCCAAAACUUUUAUAACUGCCUUAAUAUGUAAGUGUUGCAUUUAGGGACAAACUCAGAAAGCAAGGUUCAAAGAGACAAUGUAAGUGAAUGAGCGUAAUUAUAUGUGCAUAAAUAAUAGAGUUGUGAAAUUAAAGAAACUUGUCAAAAAUUAAACAAUAUAGUAACAUUGACAGGUUGGUUUGGCAGUAGAGAACUAGAGAUCAUAAAUG